ACGCUCGACACCUACGGGAGCAGCAGUGGGGAAUAUUGCACAAUGGGGGAAACCCUGAUGCAGCGACGCCGCGUGGAGGAAGAAGGUCUUCGGAUUGUAAACUCCUGUUGUUGGGGAAAAAGAGGAUGGUACCCAACAAGGAAGUGACGGCUAACUACGUGCAGCAGCCGCGGUAAUACUGAGCGGGCGUGGCGAAGGACG
Molecule: ribosomal RNA, 201 nt
Filed under: uncultured bacterium
Lineage: Bacteria
Description: partial 16S ribosomal RNA
Rfam family: Bacterial small subunit ribosomal RNA
Source: RNAcentral